UACAGAGGUCCCAAGCGUUGUUCGGAUUCACUGGGCGUAAAGGGUGCGUAGGUGGUGAGGUAAGUCCGAUGUGAAAGCUCCGAGCUCAACUCGGAAAUUGCAUUAGAAACUACCUUGCUAGAGGGUUGGAGGGGGGACUGGAAUUCUCGGUGUAGCAGUGAAAUGCGUAGAUAUCGAGAGGAGCACCAGUGGCGAAGGCGGCAUCCUGGACCAACACUGACACUGAUGAGCGAAAGCCAGGGGAGCAAACGGG
Molecule: ribosomal RNA, 253 nt
Filed under: uncultured bacterium
Lineage: Bacteria
Description: partial 16S ribosomal RNA
Rfam family: Bacterial small subunit ribosomal RNA
Source: RNAcentral